Molecule: long non-coding RNA, 1394 nt
Organism: Pomacea canaliculata
Lineage: Eukaryota; Metazoa; Mollusca; Gastropoda; Architaenioglossa; Ampullariidae
Exons: 2
Source: RefSeq, a predicted model, not a curated record
AGCAAGGGGGAGCCGAAGUUGUUAAUCUACGUCUUAAAAAUAGAGUAGGGGUCUGACUGUGUCGGAAACACUGACUGUUGUGGCAAGUCCGGGGUAACACCCUGCUGGUCCAUGCGGUGCAAAGCGUUUCUUUGUGCUUUUGCUCGGAAUGGUUUUGGGAGGCUUUUGUUUUUGAAGCUUUUUUUUUUUUUCAAACGGGUGUUUUAUGUGUGGGUGGAAUUUUGCUCCCUGCCGUUUGAAAAGGAAGAGUUUUCAAGAUAUCGUUCAUAAUUUUAAGUGAACAGGAAAUUUCCGCUUGUGCGAUUCAGUGCUUGUCUUCUUAAAUCCGAAGGAAAUUAAAUCCCAGCUCUCUUUUUCCAGCCUUGCUCAACAAGCAAUGAGAAUUUCCUUAGAAUUGCCACUGGAAGUUUAAGGACAAAAGAACAAGUUCAAGACAGAAUCAGUGGUGCUACUGUCGACACAUCUGAAUAUUUGUGGCGCUGUUUCACUUCACGUGACUACGUCACGGCGCCGUAGGUGCUGUUCCUGUCAAAGAACGUACUCCCCAGAAACAGGAGGAUGGCGUCUGUGUCUCGCCCCAAGAAUUCCAUGACAAAGGUUGGCCUCUUCGUAAUCGUGAUCGUUGCUGGAUGCUUGUGCCAGAUGACCGGUUCACAGUCGUACAGAAAUUAUUACAACGGCAGGAUUAACCAAGCUCCCUCUGCUGCAGGUGCCAACGCACCCUCGCUGCCAUCACAACUUUUCCCAUCUGCGGGUCAAAACUCUCGACAAGUUCCUUCGGCACCAGCAACGGAUGCCAGCUUCUGGCUAAAGAGUCCAUUAACGGUUCUCGGCGGCGAUACAAACUACACCACCGUCAGACAAGAGUUUCUGAGGCAGCUGUGCAGUAGACUACUUACUCAGCCCAAUUCUAAUGCCUUCUCCUUCUGUCACUCUAUCAGCCCCCCGGGAGGAUAGCACAAAAGCCAUGUUCACUAUUUUUCAGCUUAUACAUCUGCUGUACUUCACUGUACACCUUCCUGCCCCCUAAGUAACCACGAUUGUAGAGGACGAGUUAGAUGAGGCCGCGAUUCAUGAUCUUCGGAGACAUCAAGAAAAAAAACAACAACAACAGAAGUUACUCCACUCAUACUCAACAUGAAUCCUAUAACUCGCUGAGAAAAAGCGAUUAUGUUGAUGUAUAGUGUGGUUUGUAUGCUUGUAUGUUGUUGACAUGUAUUUGUGAUCACAAUGUAAAUAAUUAUAAUCGCUACUUGUAAUCUCAAAUAUGUUUAAUGUCUGUGUAAGCCUUCGAUAGGGUUUUUUUAAAAAAUGUGUCUGAUAUGUAUGGCGAUUAAUCUUUUUCAUAUACUACUUUUGCUGUACAGUUGAAUAUACCCAGUUUCAAUGUCAAA